Molecule: ribosomal RNA, 253 nt
Filed under: uncultured bacterium
Lineage: Bacteria
Description: partial 16S ribosomal RNA
Rfam family: Bacterial small subunit ribosomal RNA
Source: RNAcentral
UACGGAGGGUGCAAGCGUUGUUCGGAUUUACUGGGCGUAAAGGGCACGCAGGCGGUUUUUUAAGUCAGAUGUGAAAGGUACCGGCUCAACCGGUGACAUGCAUUUGAAACUGCAUGACUUGAGGGCAGAAGAGGGGAGUGGAAUUCCUAGUGUAGCGGUGAAAUGCGUAGAUAUUAGGAGGAACACCAGUGGCGAAGGCGACUUACUGGACUGUAACUGACGCUGAGGCACGAAAGCGUGGGGAGCAAACAGG